GUCCUAGCUGUAAACGGUGCAUAUUUGCUGUAAGCGGAAUCGACCCCGCUUGUGGCGAAGCUAACGCGUUAAAUAUGCCGCCUGGGGAGUACGGUCGCAAGAUUAAAACUCAAAGAAAUUGACGGGGGCCUGCACAAGCGGUGGAGUAUGUGGCUUAAUUCGAUGCAACGCGAAGAACCUUACCUGGCCUUGACAUGUAGGUAGUAGAAGCCUGAAAGGGCAACGAGGUAGCAAUACCAGCUUACACAGGUGCUGCAUGGCUGUCGU
Molecule: ribosomal RNA, 267 nt
Filed under: uncultured bacterium
Lineage: Bacteria
Description: partial 16S ribosomal RNA
Rfam family: Bacterial small subunit ribosomal RNA
Source: RNAcentral